Molecule: unclassified non-coding RNA, 369 nt
Filed under: uncultured fungus
Lineage: Eukaryota; Fungi
Description: partial contains small subunit ribosomal RNA, internal transcribed spacer 1, and 5.8S ribosomal RNA
Rfam family: Eukaryotic small subunit ribosomal RNA (bases 1-73)
Source: RNAcentral
GCAAACUUGGUCAUUUAGAGGAAGUAAAAGUCGUAACAAGGUUUCCGUAGGUGAACCUGCGGAAGGAUCAUUAUUGAAUAAACUUGAACAGGCUGUUGCUGGUCCCUUGUGGUAUGUGCACGCCUGUCUCAUCUUUGUUAUUUCUCCAACUUGUGCACCUUUUGUAGACUCUGGAGCUUUGUGGAUUUUCUGAAAAUCCGAGUCCGGGACUGCUGUGCUUUGUUAUGAAGUCGGCUUUGCCUUGCAUCUCCAGGUCUAUGUCAUUUUUCACAACCUCUUUAAACAUGUUAAGAAUGUCGGAUAAAAAAAAUGAAAUAUACAACUUUCAGCAACGGAUCUCUUGGCUCUCGCAUCGAUGAAGAACGCAGC